This 4422-nucleotide long non-coding RNA is filed under the name Homo sapiens (human). RNAcentral describes it as "HSALNT0224714". The stretch from base 3187 to 3284 matches the Rfam family "Small nucleolar RNA U13". Lineage: Eukaryota; Metazoa; Chordata; Mammalia; Primates; Hominidae. The record is from RNAcentral.
CUCCCUAGGACUGGGGACAUAUUCGAUCCAGGGAGUCAAGAGACUUACAGAGGGCUGCUUCUUUGUCACUUGUCUGCCAUGAUCAAACAGAAAUAGAAAAGGUAGUCACCAGGAAUGAAAUUUGUGUGGACAGCUGCCAUCUCUGCAGCCUAAUCCUAUGUUGGGUUGGGGACUUCUCACCAGAUGGCCCUUUAUCUUAUUUCAUCUGGACCCCAGGUCAAUCAUUAUUCUCCAGAAAAAUAAAUUUCCCUACCCUACCCUACCAUGAUUGUUUCAUUCAGAGAAGAUCCUUUGGCUUUGAUAAAGAGCCAUGGAUGGCAGAUCAUCCAUCUAUCCAUUUAUCCAUUCAUCCAUUCAAACAGUGACUGAUGGGCACCUACUCGCUGUUCUGUGCUGUUCAAUGUCUGAGACAUAUUCUGUGCAUUGAAGCUGCUUGUUGCAUUGUUUAUCUUCAUCUUCUUCCUAUUUUUCUUCUCUACGCUUUACUCUUCCUCCUCUUUCUCAGUUUAAGGUUUGUACUUGCUACGGUUUGAAUAUGUCCCCUUUAAAAUUCAGGAGUUGCCAAUAUGAUAGUAUUAGGAGGUGGGGCCUUUAAGAGAUGUUUAGGCCAUGAGGGCUCCUCCCUUGUGAGUGGGAUUGAGAUUCUUAUAAAAGAGGCUUCACACAGUGUUUGGCUCAUUUGCUCUUUUACCCCUGAGGGUAUAGUGUUCCUCCCUUUCAGAGGAUACACCAUCAAAGCACCAUCUCAGAAGCAGACACAGCCCUCGCCAGGCAACCAAAGCUGCUGGCGCCUUCAUCUUGGACUUCCCAGCCUCCAGAACUGGGAGAAAAUAAAUGCUUGUCUUCUAUAAAUUAUCCAGUCUGCAGUAUUUUGUUAGAGCAGCACAAACAGACUAAGACAGAAAUACUGUGAAGGUUGAUUUGGGUGUCAACUUGACUGGAUUAAAGGAACCCAAAUAGCUGGGAAGGCAUUAUUUAUUCUCAGUGCUUCAGUAGGCACUGAGCCCAUCCCCCUUCUGCUGAAAGGGAAACCCAACUCAUUUGGCAUUUAAUUAGAAUAAUUCGGCUGCCUUAAGUGUGUCUGUGAGAGUGCUCCUGGGGGAGAUUGGCAUGUAAGUAGGUGAACUAGAAUGGGGAAGAUCCACUCUCAAUGUAGCAGACACCAUCCAGUGGGCUGGGGGCCUGGAGGGAACGAAAAGGUGAAGUAAGGUCAAAUUCUCUUCCUCUCACUUCCAAAGCCAGGAGACCCUUCUUCUCCUGCCUUCAGACAUCAGAACUCCAGUUUCUCUGGCCUUUGGACUCACAUCAGCAGAUCCUGGGCCUUUGGCCUUGGACUGAGAAUUACACUGUCACCUUCCUUUGUUCUGAAACCUUGGGUUUGGGACUGAGCCAAGCUACUGAUUUUCCUGGUUCUCCAACUUGCAGUUGGUCUAUCUUGGGACUUCUCAGCCUCCAUAAUUAAAUGAGUCAAAUACGCUAAUAAAUCCUUCAUCUCUCUCUAUAUAUAUAUCUAAUAAAUCCUUCAUCUCUCUCUAUAUAUGUCUUACUGGUUCUAUUUCUCUGGGGAACCUUGACUAAAACAAUACUGUUGGCCAAUUAUUUGAUCAAAUCACUAUAAUUGGUUUGAAAAAAGAAAGGAGGCCUCAAAAUGAGUAACCCUAACUUCAACUGUUAACUUCAGUCUUUGCGGAACGAAGUGAUGUCUUACCUCCAUGAUCAAAACAAGGCAAGCGCUCGGCUAUUGUGGUUCUGAAGCAUUUUCAGAGAAAAGAUAGUGAACCAGCUGACACUAAUAAAGUUCCCCCAAAUUUGAUUAAACUUAAAUCUGCCCUUUUUGCCUGGGAAAACCCAUAAGCUUAUGUGAGUAAAUAAGCCUCUUAUUUAAAAACUAAACUUUGAAAUUUGGAAAGAAAAGCUGCAGAGUUGGUGCCCCAGUACACAAGGGCUGUUCCAACCUGGAGUGCUCAUUGGAAUUUCAAAGGGAAAUGAAAACAGGUGAGAAAUACUUGUAUUCAUAGGUUGUGGGAACCCAGGCAUGGGAUAAUGUAGAACCUAAUAGCUAAUACGCUUACUAGAUGACUGAUUGGCUUUAAUGUGAAAAAGUUUGAGGCACAGGACGCUUGGAGGGAAAAUCAUCGAUCUCACCAUCUAUGAUCCCGAAUCCAAGACGAAAACGAUUAUUUCCUUUCUCCUCUGCCCUUCCUCUAGCUGCUGGGAAAUGGCCACACAGAAGCUAGGAAAGGGGAGUAGGUGGUGCAGAGCAGCGGUUCUCAAACUUUACUGUUUUGCUGCACACUAGAAUCACCUGGGAGUUUUCAAGAAUCCUGAUGCCCCCUCCACGUUGAGAAGUGCAGUGAGAGCAACCCAUUAAAUCAGGAUCCAGGAGCCGGUGGGGGAGAACUCGCAAUUGGCAUUUUUUUGAAGGCCUCCAAGUGCCUCCCAUGCAGAGCAAGUUUGAGGCCAGAGGUAUAAGUGGUGCUUCCCAAUGAGGCAGGAUCUGAGACAAGACACAAGCUCCCAGCUGGUGUGGUCCCUGGCUGCACUUUAAGUAACAAGGUGUAGAGUUUCUAUCCCCGAUCCCACCCUCACAAUGAUGUCCUGGCAAAGUGAAAGAAGCUGAAAGAAAAGAGCUGAAAGAAUUGAGCCUGGGCAGAAAUGCAAGCAGGAUGUGGGCAAUGGGGCUAUCAAAUCAACACAGCCUGGAAAAAAGGGAUAAGAAAGCCUGCGUGUUCUCAGGAGGAUAGAGCUAUUUGUCAUUUGAAGCAAGACAUCCCACUGUCCCAUGAAAGCUUUUCUCCUCCCCUACCCCAAUAACAUGCACACAGGAAGAAUUCGUUUGUCCUAUGUCUCCAACCGGAGUGCCCAAAUUCCUCUGGCUCCCCGUAAUUACGAUGCUGGAUGAGAAAGAAUUGGACUUAGGCCAUCACCUAAGCAUUGGCAUAUGUUCAAAGUUCUCCCAUCUUGAAACCAGAAAGCAAGCCAACCCACCUCCGUGGACUUUUGCUUUCCUUCCAGCCCAAGCUCCCUUCUUUCUUGCCCACAGGCAGCUUUUAAAAGGACCUAUUACGGGCACCCACACUCUUAGUUUUCAUCCCACCAGUAUGUAAUAGGGACAUUUUGUUUAUCAUAGACUUCUUUACAUUAAUCUUGACUUUUAAAAAACAGUGCCUUAAAAUAUUAAUCUUGCUCCUUUUGCGGUUUAUAAGCAUGAUGAUUGGGUUUUCAUGUGUGAGAUGUGUCUCCCUCAAAUCUUUUUAUGAAGUAGAUGCAUUGUCUGUCUGACAUGAAAAAAGGAAAUAAUUAUUUAUCUUGAUUACUUCAUUUUUGGCACCCCCUCCCCUUUUAUUUAGCCCCAAGACUCUUGCCUCACCCUAGUCUUAACCAUUUCCAUCUGCUCCUCAACCCACUACAGUCUGUUCUGCUCUCAAUGCAAUAGAAACUAAUCUUGAAAGACUCAAUAAAAAUUCUUCUGUGUCAUUUGUUUUAAAGGACAACUUUUUAGUCCCUGUUUUCCAUGCCAUCCCUUUAAGCACUCAAACACAUCAAACUACAAGACAUACACAAAUACAAUGAUUAUGAAAAAUGUUACUAAUACCUAUGUCUAUUCCUAAAAUGUCAACAUCUUGUUUUCUUCCCCAUUUCUUAAUUUUUUAUACUACGCCUAUACUAUCUAAGAUUAUAGCAGUACUUAAUUAAAAAUCUCAAGUUUACAGUAUUCCAGACCAAAAAGAAAAGGAAUAUAAACUUAAGACAGCCAAGGUCGUAGGAUCUGGUUGAAGCAUUGAUUCUUGGUUAGGGCAGGAGGUCAGAUUAUUUCUCUGAAGACUAUCUAAAUCCAAACAAUGGACACCAGGCUGAAACUUUCUUCUUAAGUUAAUCUUGACUUUUCAUAUCAAUUAAAAAUAAAGUCUACAUUUUCCCCAUGGAUUUUAGUUUUUAGUAGCCUGGAAUUUCCCGAUCAAACAUUGAUGUCUGUCUUGGCUACCAUGACAUAACCCAUUGUCCUGUCAUUAUGAUAACUGGGUCUGGUCUAUUGAUGUUAUUUAAAAUGUAUGGCUGCCUCAGUAGUGCCUCAUCCUGAGUGAGACCAUCCAGAGGUUUCAUCUCUCAGGACAGGUAGAACCGGGGUAGUACAAUGCAUUCUCCUUUUUAAGAUAUUUGUUGACUUCAUCAUCUUGGAACACAGUUUUGAUCCUUUUUCUAGUUAUUGUGUGUGGCCACUGGUGCUUGGAAGACCCUCCUGUUCUUGAUAGAGUUUCUGUAUAUUUUCCCUGGGCAAUUUGGCUAACUGUUUCCUGUACUGCCUCUUCUCUAGUUAUGCAGCUUGACAUGAGUUUUAUGUCUAUAUUUUAAAAUCAAACAGAGUUAAUAGAAGAAAUAAAAAACUAAUUUAUAUUAACUUCCUCAUUAAAAUUAAUAAAA